This 4826-nucleotide long non-coding RNA is filed under the name Panax ginseng (ginseng). RNAcentral's name for it is "long non-coding RNA (PGIN_LNC006441)". The record is from RNAcentral. Lineage: Eukaryota; Viridiplantae; Streptophyta; Magnoliopsida; Apiales; Araliaceae.
AAUUUAUGGGGAGGGAAAACGAACGCCAAACCAAGAGUAGUCCGCGUAAAUCAGUAGGAUUUAGGGUUUAGAGGUACAGAAGAUGAAGAAGGGUUGUCUUUUACCCAUUACAUGCAAUGGCUGGCUGAGCCAGAACCAAUCAGCCGAUUUUAUUUAGCUAAUGGGGUUUUCCAGAGGUCACAAUUUUCACAUGCGACAAACAGGUUCGUUUUUCCUAAUCUGAUUCAUUGAACACUGUCAUGAAUCUUUUUUGAGCCUGUUCCAUAACUGGUGAAUCCACGUAAUAGAUUUAUUUGCCUGUAUACUUUUGUUCUUAACUAUAUACGCAAAGUAUUGAUAUAUGCAAUCUACCUUUUCUCUUCCUGUUUCACUAGCACAGAAAUUAUGAUUUUCAAAGAUAAGAUUAAGACUGUAUGAUAAUUUAUGUUGAAUGGAGAAUUGGAGAUAGUGCAAACAGGAAUAUUUGAUGAUUUAACUUGUAUGGUGGGAAAUCAGAGCAGGAGCAAUCUAUUAUGAUUAUAAGGAUUAAUGAAGAAUUUAUUAGGGAAAAUUAACUUUAAUUGACUAAGUCUAAGCAGUUCAACUGAAGACCUUGUAUUAUGUCGUGGUUAGUAUAAUGUCCGGAAAAUUUUAGCACGGACGUUUUUGUAUUGUAGUGAUUUAUCACCAAGUAGUUGGGAUCGUUUGGCAAACAAAUUAAUUUGAUCAAUCUGCAUANNNNNNNNNNNNNNNNNNNNNNNNNNNNNNNNNNNNNNNNNNNNNNNNNNNNNNNNNNNNNNNNNNNNNNNNNNNNNNNNNNNNNNNNNNNNNNNNNNNNAUAUUUAUUCUUUUAUUUCAAAACCCUCAAUGUUCACAAUUACUACCUCCGUUCCUAAAAGAUUGUCGUUUAAGGUUUUGUCACAUGGAUUAAGAAAGUAUCAUUUACCAAGUAAAAUUUAUUUAAAAUUCCAUCACUAUCCCUUUAUGGGAAGUUGAAAACUAUUAAUACAAGGGAGAAAAUUUCUUGGGACAAUGAGAGAAUGUAGGGGUAAUAUAGAAAAGUAAAUAAUUUAUUCUCCUCGAAAGUUGUAAACGACAAACUUUUUGGAACAAAUUUUUUCUUCUAAAACGAUAAUCUUUUAGGAACGGAGGGAGUAACAUGGUUACAAUUAUUUAUAAAAUUUCAUAUAUGCAAUUAUUUACAUGGUUACAAGGGAAUGGUUAGAGGUAGAUUACAUUGAACAGAUAUUUUAGGCAGAGGAAUUUGUUUUUCGCAUAACUCCCCGAGUCAUUCAAAAACUUUGGAGUUUAAUUAAAUGGUCAAAAUUUAUGGCAGGAUAUAUUAUGCUGCUGUUAAAUCAAUUAUCAAAAUUGGUGCUUAUAUUGUAAGAUAUUGCAUAAGUCAAUUAUAUUUCAUACGCGUCGGAAGAGAAAUAUUGAAAUCCUGUAGGACAAAACUGCAAGCACAAUGAACUUGGUCCUUUUGACAAUUGUAUUGUGAAAAAUUGUUGGCUCUCACCAGUGUUUCUCUUGGUAGCAUGCACUUUCAUUUUAUAUAUAAACAGUACAAUACAUAGUUUACUUGAGCCAAGCUAAAAGCUUCAUUAAGUUUUUAUUUAGUUCAAAAACAUUGCGAGUAACGCACCCUCUCAAACACACAAGCAAACACUAGAGAAAAAGAAAAGAAAAAGAAAUGAAAGUAUGUCAUUCCACCUAUAUUAAAAUAAAGGUUUAAAUAUGAAUUAGUACCCUAAACUAUAGGUCAUAUUCCAAUUCGGUGAUCCGCCUUUCAAUUUUGUCAAUUAGAUGAUUAAACUAUCAAUUUUUUUCAAUUGCAACAAAUUGAACAUGCCACGUCAGAAAUUGCUGACGUGGCUAAUUGUGUGGGGCCUUAAGAAGCCGAUGUGGCAAAAAAAACAAUUUUUUAAUCAUUAAAUAAACAAAUCUGAUUAAAUGUGGGGCAAAAUGGUCAAAACACAAUUUAACAUUUCAAACUAAAAUAAAAUAAACAUUAAAAAUCAAAAUAAUUUUAUUUAUUUUUAAUUAUUAUAUCAAAACCUAUAUAGACAAUCGAAGAGGGUAGCCGAAAACGUAGAGAAACUUGGCAACGAUGGGGCUGAAAAAUGGUGCAAAAUGGUGAGCACAGGCGAAGAGGGUAGCCGCAUACAACAACCAUACCGCGUAUUUGUAUUUGUUUGGUGUUUUUUCAUGUCGAUGCGACAACAACCAUUGAUACGCCGAGGAGCAGCAGACAGUCCCAAAGAAACAGAAGCAGAAGUAGAUGAACAAGUUAAAAGCUACGGCGGAAUAGCCGUGAUCUCGAGCGUCUAACCGGCAGAUUCUGGUAACACAAAAGGAAGCCAUCAACAUAUGGGCAUACGCCGGCGGAAUUUUGGCAAUCACCUGUGAUAUUGCUGCGGCAGUACCACCCAUUUUUAUUUAUUUAUUGUACGAGUUUUGGUUACAACACAGGGUUGUUUUAUAGUUGGUAUUCGGAAACUUCCCAGAAAUUUACUAAUCAUUUCUGGGACUGAAAUGGGUCCGUGUUUACUAAUGGAGGAGAGAGAGAGGAGGGGGGUUUGGGGAUUUUUGAUGUGAGGCUGAUUUUGAAGGGGAAAAAUGGGGGUUCAGUAGUUUUGGAGUUGAAUUAUGAGGUUUUGAGUGCUAACAGUUUUUGCGGAUUUGAUCGCGAAUUAUCGGACGAGUUCUAGUGGUUCUGUUGCUAAUUUUUGUAGGAUUGCUAAUUCUGAGGUUGGUGUUUGUUUUAUUUUAAUUUGAAAUGUUAAAUUGUGUUUUGACUAUUUUGCCCCACAUUUAAUCAGAUUUGUUUAUUUAAUAAUUAAAAAAUUAUUUUUUUUGCCACAUCAGCUUCUUAAGUCUCCACACAAUUAGCCACGCCAGCAAUUUCUGACAUGACAUGUUCAAUUUGUUGCAAUUGAAAAAAAUUGAUAGUUUAAUAAUCUGAUUGACAAAAUUGAAAGGUGGAUCACCGAAGUGGAAUAUGGCCUAUAGUUUAGGGUACUAAUUCAUAUUUAAGCCUAAAAUAAACCGCAUAGGUGGUCUGAAAGCCUCAUUGAAAUGUUAUCUCAGAGAGUAUUUCCAACUUCAUAAUGACAUAUUGACAUUUAAUUAUUUGUACGCCAUUAAUUCAGUACUUCAUUGAAUAAGUCAGUAAAGACUAAUGACCCUGCUUGUAAAAAUGAAAUUUCACAUUAAUGAUUGCAUUUGUUUCAAUUAUUUUGAGUGUUUGCAAUUGGCUAAGAAACUGAACUAUCGAAUAGGUGACUAGCUUAUAGCAUUUGUGAUGGCAGUAAUGCUUAUUAAGUGUUGAUGUAGUUCACCUUAGCUAACUUCAAACAUGGUAUAACAAUAUUGACUUUGUGGUGGAAAUUAGUUAUAGAAAGCUUCUAUGGUCAGGUUUUGAAUUGGCUUCUUCCUAAAAUUUGUUAGUUGCCAAAAAUUUAGGAGAAGGUAUGUUAAAUGAGGUAGUGAUCUGUCAUACUCAUUCUAUCUCAAUUAAGGCUAAGCCUAAGGGUUUUAGAGAGGGAAAAUCGGAAAUUUAGUUAAACAUUCUUGAAUAGAAACCACAGAUAAGACUCAAUUAACAUUACUUGGCCUAGACUAUGACCCGUGAUUCUAACUAUGGACUGGUUCAGGCAAACUAGAAAAUUUCGAAAGGAUUAGCUCCUAAAUUUGAUAUAAUUUAUUAAGACCAUACUGAUUGUUUACUAGCCUAAAAUAUAAAUAUACCUCAAGACAAGAUUCAAAAGUAAAUUAAAUUGUGCUAUGUUAAGUAUGCUCAGGCAAUUUCCCACUUUACCCUCAUUUUAAUUUACUUUUUGAUUUUUAUUCUUUUAUGCAUUGCAUCAGGUGCAAUAUUUAUGUGGUUGGCAGUGCAGCUGUGCUGAAAUACAGUUACCGUUGGUAAUUCUAGUUAUAAGAUACCGCAGUAGUGCAAGUGGUUAAGUUACCGUUAUGGGCCUUUGGUGACAACAAUUCUACUAUUAAAAGGUUGGCAAAUGAUGUGGGUAAUGGUGCCUCUAAUCCGCCCUCAGUUAAGAAUUGUAACGGCUGAUGGCAUGUGAAGGUUAUGAUGGCGUACUUUACACAAAAUUGGUGUCAAUUCAUGUGGGUUUGCAUGGACGUGGUAUAUCUGUCUAGUUCUCGAUAUUACAACACAAGAUAUAGCAAUCAUUCAAGCGAUACUGUCUUCAAGAUGACCUGAAACAUCCUCAUUCAUUAUUAUUAAUGUUUAUAACUUGUACUGAAGUCUAUCCAUGCAUAAGUGGUUACUUGUUAGGGCAUAUCUAAUUUUUUUUUAAUUUAAAUUAUUUCCAGUUCUUCAUAGUCUUCUUUAUGGUAUAUUUGUGCUUUUUCUUUUUAUUUUUUUUGUUUCUAUGCAAAUAUUAACAAAUAUCUGAAACUCACAGCUUCAUCAUGAUCAAUGAGAGGACAAGUUUUGUUAUCGAGAUUACCUUGACUGAUAACUAGCAAUGCAAGAUUGUCAUAGUUAUUUCAGUUAGUUGACAUUUAAGUGAGAUUACGGAAUCAACUUAAAAAAAAAGACGGAUAAUAAUAUAUUCUUCAGCAUUUUGUGAUCAGUGGUGGUCUGGCACCUGCAACAUUUGCAAAGGAAUCCACCUUUGAAAUUUAAUUUCUUUCUAUACAAAUCCUUAGUAAUCUAUAUUGUUUGUUUCUAUUUUUCAGAAAAUAAUAAUAUAUUUUAUACAGUUCCUUCCGGAAAUUUUUCUAGUUCUUACUUUUAUUUUCCAUGCAGAGUUGAUGGCAUGUUUGCCCUGCAAUCCCCAACAACUCUAUGAUGAUGAGGUAUGGCCCGGAAAUUCUUU